GUUAUAACAAGUUGGAGUGCAUUAGUUGUGGUAAUAUAUUUUGUACAAAAUAGUGUAUUUUGUUGUUAAAGGUAAGUACUUUACUAUUCUGGUUUACUAUUUUCCUCCAGUUACAAAAGUACACUUUCCAGGCGGAUAAUUACUUACUAUAAUUUGCCCAUGUCAUCUUUAAUUGUUAUGUUAAUGCAAUUUUUAUCACAGGGUGAUGAUAUGAAUAAUUUAAAUGAAAUUAUCAAGGUGGCUGCGCCAUGUGUAAUUGAAAUAGAGAGCGAUCCACAAACAAUUUAUCACGUAGUUUUAGAACGACAAGUAGUGAUUCCAAGUGUUGUCACUUUAAAAGAUGCAGUAUCUUGGGCGUUUGGAUUAUAUUUUAUAAUGAAUUUAGAAUAUCCAGACGAAGUAUCAGCAGUUUUGGAAAUGAUGCAAAGAUUUUUUUUGAAAAUACAUCCAGAUCAAGGAUCCAAAUCAAAAAGAAUAACACCAACAAAACGCAAAGUAAUUGGCCUUAUGAACAAAUUAAAUUAAUGUAAAAUAUAUACAACAUCAAUGACUUUGUUUUGUGUUUAUGAUUUUAUUACAUGUUUAUUAUGUUUUUCACCAUAAAAUAAAAGGUUCACUUUGUCCGA
Zophobas morio is the source of this 626-nucleotide long non-coding RNA. RefSeq lists it as uncharacterized. The transcript is spliced from 2 exons. NCBI's taxonomy places the organism in Eukaryota, Metazoa, Arthropoda, Insecta, Coleoptera, Tenebrionidae. The record is from RefSeq and is a predicted model, not a curated record.